RNAcentral lists this long non-coding RNA (263 nucleotides) under Lathyrus oleraceus (garden pea). RNAcentral's name for it is "Pisum sativum (pea) long non-coding RNA (PSAT_LNC035208)". Lineage: Eukaryota; Viridiplantae; Streptophyta; Magnoliopsida; Fabales; Fabaceae. The record is from RNAcentral.
AAUAUUCUCAUCAAUUUUUUAAUUGAUUUGAGAUUUAUUUGAGAUUUUAGUUCAAUUAGGUUAUUUUUAUUCAUUUUUAAUUGAUUAAAAAUAGUUUUUAGCUUUUAAAAAUGCUGAAAUUUUUUGUCAAACUUUGUUUGAUCUUUGUUCUUUUAUUCUUCAUAUCCAUAUUUCUUUUGUUAAAAAUAGUUUUUAGCUUUUAAAAAUGCUGAAAUUUUUAUUCAUUUAAUGCACUUUGUUCUUUUAUUCUUCAUAUCCAUAUU